CGGUGUUCAACUGGCGUGUCCGCGGGACGUCCUGCCGGUGGGCUUAGCCCGCAAGGGCGGCCCAACUUCAAAUCCCAUCGCGGUGCUCUUCACUGAGUGUCGAGGUGGGCCGGCACGUUUACUUUGAACAAAUUAGAGUGCUUAAAGCAGGCUAAAACUUCGCCUGAAUACUGUGUGCAUGGAAUGAUGGAAUAGGACCUCGGUUCUAUUUUGUUGGUUUUCGGAACCCCGAGGUAAUGAUUAAUAGGAACGGAUGGGGGCAUUCGUAUUGCGACGUUAGAGGUGAAAUUCUUGGAUCGUCGCAAGACGGACAGAAGCGAAAGCAUUUGCCAAAAACGCUUUCAUUGAUCAAGAACGAAAGUUAGAGGUUCGAAGGCGAUCAGAUACCGCCCUAGUUCUAACCAUAAACGAUGCCAGCUAGCGAUCCGUCGACGUUCCUCCGAUGACUCGACGGGCAGCUUCCGGGAAACCAAAGCUUUUGGGUUCCGGGGGAAGUAUGGUUGCAAAGCUGAAACUUAAAGGAAUUGACGGAAGGGCACCACCAGGAGUGGAGCCUGCGGCUUAAUUUGACUCAACACGGGAAACCUCACCAGGCCCGGACACCGGAAGGAUUGACAGAUUGAGAGCUCUUUCUUGAUUCGGUGGGUGGUGGUGCAGGGCCGUUCUUAGUUGGUGGAGCGAUUUGUCUGGUUAAUUCCGAUAACGAACGAGACUCUAGCCUGCUAACUAGGCGUAUUUUCGACAUCUCAAAGGUCCGUCGUCCCGGCCCUCGGGUCGUGGGCGUGCGCGAUUUUUACUGUCGGCGUACUAUCAAUUCUUCUUAGAGGGACAGGUGGCUUCUAGCCGCACGAGAUUGAGCAAUAACAGGUCUGUGAUG
This 877-nucleotide ribosomal RNA is filed under the name uncultured eukaryote. Its description in RNAcentral is "SSU rRNA". It matches the Rfam family "Eukaryotic small subunit ribosomal RNA", at positions 636 to 1469 of the family's 1831-position model. The record is from RNAcentral.